Molecule: ribosomal RNA, 480 nt
Filed under: uncultured bacterium
Lineage: Bacteria
Description: bacterial SSU rRNA
Rfam family: Bacterial small subunit ribosomal RNA
Source: RNAcentral
UGCAGUCGAACGCAAUCUUUUAACAAUGAGUGCUUGCACUCAGCGUUUUAAGUGCGAGUGGCGAACGGGUGAGUAACACGUGGGCAAUCUGCCCAAAAGUGGGGGAUAACACUUGGAAACAGGUGCUAAUACCGCAUCAACCGGCUGACCGCAUGGUCGGCCGGGCAAAGACGGCGUCAGCUGUCGCUUUUGGAUGAGCCCGCGGCGUAUUAACUANUUGGUAAGGUAACGGCUUACCAAGGUGAUGAUACGUANCCGAACUGAGAGGUUGAUCGGCCACAUUGGGACUGAGACACGGCCCAAACUCCUACGGGAGGCAGCAGUAGGGAAUCUUCCACAAUGGACGCAAGUCUGAUGGAGCAACGCCGCGUGAGUGAAGAAGGCUUUCGGGUCNNAAAACUCUGUUGUUGGAGAAGAAUGGUCGGCAGAGUAACUGUUGUCGGCGUGACGGUAUCCAACCAGAAAGCCACGGCUAACUAC